CUACGUGCCAGCAGCCGCGGUAAUACGGAAGGUCCGGGCGUUAUCCGGAUUUAUUGGGUUUAAAGGGAGCGUAGGCCGGAGAUUAAGUGUGUUGUGAAAUGUAGACGCUCAACGUCUGACUUGCAGCGCAUACUGGUUUCCUUGAGUACGCACAACGUUGGCGGAAUUCGUCGUGUAGCGGUGAAAUGCUUAGAUAUGACGAAGAACUCCGAUUGCGAAGGCAGCUGACGGGAGCGCAACUGACGCUUAAGCUCGAAGGUGCGGGUAUCGGACAGGAUUAGAUACCCUGGUAGUCCGCACAGUAAACGAUGGAUGCCCGCUGUUGGUACCUGGUAUCAGCGGCUAAGCGAAAGCAUUAAGCAUCCCACCUGGGGAGUACGCCGGCAACGGUGAAACUCAAAGGAAUUGACGGGGGCCCGCACAAGCGGAGGAACAUGUGGUUUAAUUCGAUGAUACGCGAGGAACCUUACCCGGGCUUGAAUUGCAGAGGAAGGAUUUAGAGAUA
RNAcentral lists this ribosomal RNA (505 nucleotides) under uncultured bacterium. RNAcentral's name for it is "bacterial SSU rRNA". It matches the Rfam family "Bacterial small subunit ribosomal RNA", at positions 501 to 1008 of the family's 1533-position model. The record is from RNAcentral.